AAAGGUAAGCUACUAAGAGCGAAUGGUGGAUGCCUUGACUGGUAAAGGCGAUGAAGGACGUACUAGACUGCGAUAAGCUACGGGGAGCUGUCAAGAAGCUUUGAUCCGUAGAUUUCCGAAUGGGGCAACCCAAUGUAUAGAGAUAUACAUUACCUAUAUAGGAGCGAACGAGGGGAAUUGAAACAUCUUAG
Molecule: ribosomal RNA, 191 nt
Filed under: Campylobacter coli
Lineage: Bacteria; Pseudomonadati; Campylobacterota; Epsilonproteobacteria; Campylobacterales; Campylobacteraceae
Description: partial 23S ribosomal RNA
Rfam family: Bacterial large subunit ribosomal RNA
Source: RNAcentral